CUGACUGUACUUGCAGGGAUCAUUUCUAUAGUUGGUGACAGAAUAAUUUCAAGAGUCAUCUUGAAAAUAGAAAAACUUAGU
Molecule: small nucleolar RNA, 81 nt
Gene: U3
Rfam family: Small nucleolar RNA U3
About the family: Small nucleolar RNAs (snoRNAs) are involved in the processing and modification of rRNA in the nucleolus. There are two main classes of snoRNAs: the box C/D class, and the box H/ACA class. U3 snoRNA is a member of the box C/D class.
Source: Ensembl